GAUCUGGUUGAUUCUGCCAGUAGUCAUAUGCUUGUUUCAAGGACUUAGCCAUGCAUGCCUAAAAAUCACUGCAUUUGCAGGAAUCUGCGCAUGGCUCAUUACAUCAAACGUAAUCGGCCGCAAAAAUUUGGGGUUUU
This 137-nucleotide non-coding RNA is filed under the name Leishmania infantum. RNAcentral's name for it is "Eukaryotic small subunit ribosomal RNA". It matches the Rfam family "Eukaryotic small subunit ribosomal RNA", at positions 1 to 139 of the family's 1831-position model. The record is from Rfam by way of RNAcentral. Lineage: Eukaryota; Euglenozoa; Kinetoplastea; Trypanosomatida; Trypanosomatidae.